RNAcentral lists this ribosomal RNA (425 nucleotides) under uncultured bacterium. Its description in RNAcentral is "partial 16S ribosomal RNA". It matches the Rfam family "Bacterial small subunit ribosomal RNA", at positions 354 to 796 of the family's 1533-position model. The record is from RNAcentral.
GUGGGGAAUCUUGCGCAAUGGGCGAAAGCCUGACGCAGCCAUGCCGCGUGAAUGAUGAAGGUCUUAGGAUUGUAAAAUUCUUUCACCGGGGACGAUAAUGACGGUACCCGGAGAAGAAGCCCCGGCUAACUUCGUGCCAGCAGCCGCGGUAAUACGAAGGGGGCUAGCGUUGCUGGGAAUUACUGGGCGUAAAGGGCGCGUAGGCGGACAGUUUAGUCAGAGGUGAAAGCCCAGGGCUCAACCUUGGAAUUGCCUUUGAUACUGGCUGUCUUGAGUACGGGAGAGGUGAGUGGAACUCCGAGUGUAGAGGUGAAAUUCGUAGAUAUUCGGAAGAACACCAGUGGCGAAGGCGACUCACUGGCCCGUUACUGACGCUGAGGCGCGAAAGCGUGGGGAGCAAACAGGAUUAGAUACCCUGGUAGUCC